GACGAACCGUGCGAACGUUGUUCGGAAUCACUGGGCUUAAAGGGCGCGCAGGCGGCCUGCCAAGUCCGGGGUGAAAUCCUCCAGCUUAACUGGAGAAGUGCCUUGGAUACUGGCGAGCUCGAGCGAGGCAGGGGUGAUGGGAACUUCCGGUGGAGCGGUGAAAUGCGUUGAUAUCGGAAGGAACGCCGGUGGCGAAAGCGCAUCACUGGUCCUCUUCUGACGCUGAGGCGCGAAAGCCAGGGGAGCAAACGGG
RNAcentral lists this ribosomal RNA (253 nucleotides) under uncultured bacterium. Its description in RNAcentral is "partial 16S ribosomal RNA". It matches the Rfam family "Bacterial small subunit ribosomal RNA", at positions 524 to 776 of the family's 1533-position model. The record is from RNAcentral.